Molecule: ribosomal RNA, 497 nt
Filed under: uncultured bacterium
Lineage: Bacteria
Description: partial 16S ribosomal RNA
Rfam family: Bacterial small subunit ribosomal RNA
Source: RNAcentral
GAUGAACGCUGGCGGCGUGCCUAAUACAUGCAAGUCGAGCGAACGGACGAGAAGCUUGCUUCUCUGAUGUUAGCGGCGGACGGGUGAGUAACACGUGGAUAACCUACCCAUAAGACUGGGAUAACUUCGGGAAACCGGAGCUAAUACCGGAUGAUAUUUUGAACCGCAUGGUUCAAAAGUGAAAGACGGUCUUGCUGCCACUUUUAGAUGGAUCCGCGCUGCAUUAGCUAGUUGGUAAGGUAACGGCUUACCAAGGCAACGAUGCAUAGCCGACCUGAGAGGGUGAUCGGCCACACUGGAACUGAGACACGGUCCAGACUCCUACGGGAGGCAGCAGUAGGGAAUCUUCCGCAAUGGGCGAAAGCCUGACGGAGCAACGCCGCGUGAGUGAUGAAGGUCUUCGGAUCGUAAAACUCUGUUAUUAGGGAAGAACAUAUGUGUAAGUAACUGUGCACAUCUUGACGGUACCUAAUCAGAAAGCCACGGCUAACUACGUG